GAUGAACGCUGGCGGCGUGCCUAAUACAUGCAAGUCGAGCGAACAGACGAGGAGCUUGCUCCUCUGACGUUAGCGGCGGACGGGUGAGUAACACGUGGAUAACCUACCUAUAAGACUGGGAUAACUUCGGGAAACCGGAGCUAAUACCGGAUAAUAUAUUGAACCGCAUGGUUCAAUAGUGAAAGACGGUUUUGCUGUCACUUAUAGAUGGAUCCGCGCCGCAUUAGCUAGUUGGUAAGGUAACGGCUUACCAAGGCGACGAUGCGUAGCCGACCUGAGAGGGUGAUCGGCCACACUGGAACUGAGACACGGUCCAGACUCCUACGGGAGGCAGCAGUAGGGAAUCUUCCGCAAUGGGCGAAAGCCUGACGGAACAACGCCGCGUGAGUGAUGAAGGUCUUCGGAUCGUAAAACUCUGUUAUUAGGGAAGAACAAAUUUGUAAGUAACUAUGCACGUCUUGACGGUACCUAAUCAGAAAGCCACGGCUAACUACGUG
RNAcentral lists this ribosomal RNA (497 nucleotides) under uncultured bacterium. RNAcentral's name for it is "partial 16S ribosomal RNA". It matches the Rfam family "Bacterial small subunit ribosomal RNA", at positions 28 to 507 of the family's 1533-position model. The record is from RNAcentral.